Non-coding RNA from Hyaena hyaena (striped hyena), 131 nucleotides. The record is from RefSeq and is a predicted model, not a curated record. Lineage: Eukaryota; Metazoa; Chordata; Mammalia; Carnivora; Hyaenidae.
GGCCUCUCUCCUAUGGGGCAAUGGAUGGUCCCUUUUCUCCUCCACCAGUGUUGGAGGCCAAGAUCGGCCCUUGAGGAUCAUUGUUGGGGCUGCCAUGAGCUAGCAGCCUUGCUUUUCUGCCUCAGACAUCU